CUCAUACCCAUGUGUGUAGGACUCCAAACGAUCGUCAUUAAAUUUGGUACAGAUCUCUAGAAAAGUUAUCACAUGUGUGUGGGAUUUGAUUUUUCUAGAGAUCUGUGUCAAAUUUAAUGGUGAUCAUUUGGGGUCCUACACAUAUGGGUGUGGG
Molecule: microRNA precursor, 154 nt
Filed under: Amborella trichopoda
Lineage: Eukaryota; Viridiplantae; Streptophyta; Magnoliopsida; Amborellales; Amborellaceae
Description: MIR8565 microRNA precursor family
Rfam family: MIR8565 microRNA precursor family
Source: Rfam by way of RNAcentral